RNAcentral lists this ribosomal RNA (337 nucleotides) under uncultured soil bacterium. Its description in RNAcentral is "bacterial SSU rRNA". It matches the Rfam family "Bacterial small subunit ribosomal RNA", at positions 26 to 367 of the family's 1533-position model. The record is from RNAcentral.
AGAUUGAACGCUGGCGGCAGGCCUAACACAUGCAAGUCGAGCGGUAGAGAGGUGCUUGCAUCUCUUGAGAGCGGCGGACGGGUGAGUAAUGCCUAGGAAUCUGCCUAGUGGUGGGGGAUAACGUUCGGAAACGGACGCUAAUACCGCAUACGUCCUACGGGAGAAAGCGGGGGACCUUCGGGCCUCGCGCCAUUAGAUGAGCCUAGGUCGGAUUAGCUAGUUGGUGAGGUAAUGGCUCACCAAGGCGACGAUCCGUAACUGGUCUGAGAGGAUGAUCAGUCACACUGGAACUGAGACACGGUCCAGACUCCUACGGGAGCAGCAGUGGGAAUAUUGG